AUGCAGUCGAACGGAGCUGCUUUGAUGAAGUUUUCGGAUGGAUUUAAAGCAGCUUAGUGGCGGACGGGUGAGUAACGCGUGGGUAACCUGCCUCACAUUGGGGGAUAACAGUUAGAAAUAGCUGCUAAUACCGCAUAAGCGCACGGUUCCGCAUGGAACAGUGUGAAAAACUCCGGUGGUGUGAGAUGGACCCGCGUCUGAUUAGCCAGUUGGCGGGGUAACGGCCCACCAAAGCGACGAUCAGUAGCCGGCCUGAGAGGGUGAACGGCCACAUUGGGACUGAGACACGGCCCAAACUCCUACGGGAGGCAGCAGUGGGGAAUAUUGCACAAUGGGGGAAACCCUGAUGCAGCGACGCCGCGUGAGUGAAGAAGUAUUUCGGUAUGUAAAGCUCUAUCAGCAGGGAAGAAAGUGACGGUACCUGAAUAAGAAGCCCCGGCUAACUACGUGCCAGCAGCCGCGGUAAUACGUAGGGGGCAAGCGUUAUCCGGAUUUACUGGGUGUAAAGGGAGCGUAGACGGCAAGGCAAGUCUGAAGUGAAAGCCCGGUGCUUAACGCCGGGACUGCUUUGGAAACUGUUUAGCUGGAGUGCCGGAGAGGUAAGCGGAAUUCCUAGUGUAGCGGUGAAAUGCGUAGAUAUUAGGAAGAACACCAGUGGCGAAGGCGGCUUACUGGACGGUAACUGACGUUGAGGCUCGAAAGCGUGGGGAGCAAACAGGAUUAGAUACCCUGGUAGUCCACGCCGUAAACGAUGAUUGCUAGGUGUAGGUGGGUAUGGACCCAUCGGUGCCGCAGCUAACGCAAUAAGCAAUCCACCUGGGGAGUACGUUCGCAAGAAUGAAACUCAAAGGAAUUGACGGGGACCC
RNAcentral lists this ribosomal RNA (866 nucleotides) under uncultured bacterium. RNAcentral's name for it is "bacterial SSU rRNA". It matches the Rfam family "Bacterial small subunit ribosomal RNA", at positions 55 to 922 of the family's 1533-position model. The record is from RNAcentral.